UGAUACUUCUUGCUGUUACGUUAUGUAAAAUUGAAUUUUAUUUAUACCGGAGUUUUGUUUGACGAACAUGGCUACAUUACUAAUUAAUGUUAUCAAAAUUUUCUUGCCAGUUAUAAUCUGUGGCAAUGUAUUUAUCUCAGCUUGUGCGCCUCAUCGUCCGGCACCUCAACCAAAAACUCCAAUAGCAAGACUUGGUGAUGCUAUUGAUAAAAGUAACAAACCAGAUAUCAUCACUUUUGUCAUUUUUAAAAAUACUUUGGACAAUCGAUCAGCCUUAGUAGAACAGUACUUCAACAAAUAUAGAAAGGACUUGUCGGAUGAGCUCCAAAAAAAUUUAAGUGGAUCGUUCGGACACCGUAUGUCGUCUUUAGUAAAGUUACCACCAAUCCGAUUUAUUGUCAAUGAAUUGAAAAUUACAUUUUCCUUAAUCGUAGCAAUUAUGAUAGUCUUGCCGAAAUUCUUUUGUAUCAGGAAAUAGGACCUAUUAAAAAAUAUUACCGAUCAGGAGUUUAUAAAUAAACAGUCUACGUUUUAUGCUGAGAAAUUCGAAGAAGCGUUGAUAAUACACGAUACACGUCGUAUUACGCGCAUAAUUGUAUCAAGUCUGAACGAUAAAAUAUUUUCGAAUGUUUCAUUAGGUAUUUCGAUUAUAUAUCCUCAAAAAUCAAUAGAGGAACUGGCACGACAAUGUGAUGGUGGAAUACAUUACAAGAACGCAAUAAAAGGAAUAUUUACAUGGCCUGGAGCUCAAGAUGAUGCUGCUGAAUUAUCCUUGCAUGGUGAUAAAAUAAUCUAGAGGUAUUUAAUAAGACUUGUUUGUAUUUAGUAAAUGAUUUAGUAACGAACCUUGUAAUACUAAAUAUUUGGUUACAGGUACCAAAUUAUUUAGUAGAGCUCAUUUAUUUUCACCAAAUAAAUAUUUAGUAGUAUUUAAGAAAUUAUUUAUUAGUAAUUUUAAAAAAAAGUUAUUCAAUUUGCAUGCUUUUUUAAUGGAAAUACUUUGAUGCUCAAUAGGAAGUACACGGAGAGAAAAAAAUAGUUAUAAUUCCUAUGUAGAAUGGUAACCAUUACUAUGUUACAUAGAAACGAGGAUUUUUUAACGUCGAGAGUCACCGGGCAGAGUAAUCCCCCCCAUUCUACAUAGUAACGGUGGCUAUGCUAGCAUAGAAGUGAUUACUAUUCUACAUUGACGAGAGAACUAUGUAAAUGGAUAUGGCUACAAUGUUACCUAGUAACCUUUACGAUGUUUUAUUUAUUUCAUUUUUAGUAAAUAAGGUUAUGACAAAACAAAUAACUCAGGUUACUAUAAAUAGAUAUAUGUAGAAAUUGAAUUAAUCUAUUGAAAUAAUUAAGAUAUUGCUCAAAAUGAAAUAUCAUUUUUUGAUAACAGAUAAAUAAUAAUUAAAUAAAUUAAAAUAUUUAAUAAUAUACUUCGCACAUAUACAUGUAACACAUACACAUAGGUUACUGCGCAAACGUCCGCGCAUGUUUACUUUCUUGUCUCACUUAUUAAACUGUAACGACAGCUAUUCCAGCAUGGGACUGAGUACCAUUCUACAUAGCCCUGAUUCCCAUGCUAGAUAGCGAUUUUUACCAUUUUAGUUGUUUCAAUGUAACAUAGUAAUCAUUACCAGAAAAAUGGUAAUGAGUCCUAUUCUACAUAGCAUUAUUUACCAUUUUACAAAAAAUGAGUCUGGUUACUAUGUAACAUAGUAAUCAUUACUAUUUUUUUCUCUCCGUGUACUUAAAGUUAAAAUUAAGAACUGAAAUUAAUUCAGUCUGCAUAAAGUUGUUGUACAGAAUUAGGUAAUUUAUUAAAAUGUUCCUCCAUCUCAACUCCAUACUCUAUAAUAAAAAAAAGAAGAACAAAAAUUAUCAGAGUAGAGCACAAAAAAUCUAAUGUCAAGAAAGGUGGGGCAAAAUGAGGCGUCUUACUUUUGUGACAAAAUUUUAAAUUGGCCGCUUCUGGGCUGAUUAACUUCUCGUAAAAUAGAAACGCACCAUCAUAAUUAUGCACUUUUCACUAAAAACUACUUUUUUUUUUUGAGUAGAUGUCGCCUCAUUUUACCUUAAAUUACUGUAUUGUUCUAGCCCACCUUCAUCAACAUCGAAUUGGUGCUAGAUAGUAAUAUGAAAAAAUAAAAAUAUUUACCUGAUCGGUAAUAUUUUUUAAUAGGUCCUAUUUCCUGAUACAAAAGAAUUUCGGCAAGACUAUCAUAAUUGCUACGAUUAAGGAAAAUGUAAUUUUCAAUUCAUUGACAAUAAAUCGGAUUGGUGGUAACUUUACUAAAGACGACAUACGGUGUCCGAACGAUCCACUUAAAUUUUUUUGGAGCUCAUCCGACAAGUCCUUUCUAUAUUUGUUGAAGUACUGUUCUACUAAGGCUGAUCGAUUGCCCAAAGUAUUUUUAUAAAUGACAAAAGUGAUGAUAUCUGGUUUGUUACUUUUAUCAAUAGCAUCACCAAGUCUUGCUAUUGGAGUUUUUGGUUGAGGUGCCGGACGAUGAGGCGCACAAGCUGAGAUAAAUACAUUGCCACAGAUUAUAACUGGCAAGAAAAUUUUGAUAACCUGUAAAUAUUAAUCAAUUACAUAUAUUAUUAGAUAACAUUAAGAAACAUAACAUUUAGAAAUUAAUUCAGUCUGCAUAAAGUUGUUGUACAGAAUUAGGUAAUUUAUUAAAAUGUUCUUCCAUCUCAACUCCAUACUCUAUAAUAAAAAAAAGAAGAAAAAAAAUUAUCAGAGUAGAGCACAAAAAAUCUAAUGUCAAGAAAGGUGGGGCAAAAUGAGGCGUCUUACUUUUGUGACAAAAUUUUAAAUUGACCGCUUCUGUUAAAGUUGGACGGACACAUCCACUUAAGAAAAAUUAAGCGUAUGAUUUAAUGUCGAUUUCAUAAAAUAAUUAGCAUUUUAAAAAAAAUUCCAUGUGCUACUAUUACCGUAGAUGUUACAGAAAAAUAGUCGUAAGCUAUUCAAUUUCACGAUAAAUAAUUGUGCAGAAUUUAAUUUUAUAUUGUAAUAAAUAAUUAUGAGACUUUUAAUAUAAAUUAAACUUUCAAUCGAACAA
Molecule: long non-coding RNA, 3065 nt
Organism: Microplitis mediator
Lineage: Eukaryota; Metazoa; Arthropoda; Insecta; Hymenoptera; Braconidae
Exons: 4
Source: RefSeq, a predicted model, not a curated record